This 468-nucleotide ribosomal RNA is filed under the name uncultured bacterium. Its description in RNAcentral is "partial 16S ribosomal RNA". It matches the Rfam family "Bacterial small subunit ribosomal RNA", at positions 28 to 507 of the family's 1533-position model. The record is from RNAcentral.
GACGAACGCUGGCGGCGUGCUUAACACAUGCAAGUCGAACGGAAAGGCCCUGCUUUUGUGGGGUGCUCGAGUGGCGAACGGGUGAGUAACACGUGAGUAACCUGCCCUUGACUUUGGGAUAACUUCAGGAAACUGGGGCUAAUACCGGAUAGGAGCUCCUGCUGCAUGGUGGGGGUUGGAAAGUUUCGGCGGUUGGGGAUGGACUCGCGGCUUAUCAGCUUGUUGGUGGGGUAGUGGCUUACCAAGGCUUUGACGGGUAGCCGGCCUGAGAGGGUGACCGGCCACAUUGGGACUGAGAUACGGCCCAGACUCCUACGGGAGGCAGCAGUGGGGAAUAUUGCGCAAUGGGCGGAAGCCUGAUGCAGCAACGCCGCGCGCGGGAUGACGGCCUUCGGGUUGUAAACCGCCUUCGCCUGUGACGAAGCGUGAGUGACGGUAAUGGGUAAAGAAGCACCGGCUAACUACGUG